GAUGAACGCUAGCGGCAGGCCUAACACAUGCAAGUCGAACGGUAACAUGACAGUGCUUGCACAGUUGAUGACGAGUGGCGCACGGGUGCGUAACGCGUAUACAAUCUACCUUUUACAGGGGGAUAGCCUUUAGAAAUGAAGAAUAAUACCCCAUAGUAAGUAAUUUUCGCAUGGAAGAUACUUUAAAGAUUCGUCGGUAAAAGAUGAGUAUGCGUUCUAUUAGCUAGAUGGUAAGGUAACGGCUUACCAUGGCAACGAUAGAUAGGGGCCCUGAGAGGGGGAUCCCCCACACUGGUACUAAGACACGGACCAG
Molecule: ribosomal RNA, 313 nt
Filed under: uncultured Winogradskyella sp.
Lineage: Bacteria; Pseudomonadati; Bacteroidota; Flavobacteriia; Flavobacteriales; Flavobacteriaceae
Description: bacterial SSU rRNA
Rfam family: Bacterial small subunit ribosomal RNA
Source: RNAcentral